CGGAGUGUGGCGCAGCCUGGUAGCGCACUUGCAUGGGGUGCAAGGGGUCGUAGGUUCGAAUCCUAUCACUCCGACCA
RNAcentral lists this transfer RNA (77 nucleotides) under Marinospirillum alkaliphilum DSM 21637. RNAcentral's name for it is "tRNA_Pro_GGG". It matches the Rfam family "tRNA". From Rfam's summary of the family: Transfer RNA (tRNA) molecules are approximately 80 nucleotides in length. Their secondary structure includes four short double-helical elements and three loops (D, anti-codon, and T loops). The record is from RNAcentral. Lineage: Bacteria; Pseudomonadati; Pseudomonadota; Gammaproteobacteria; Oceanospirillales; Oceanospirillaceae.